This is a long non-coding RNA of Hypanus sabinus (Atlantic stingray), 3781 nucleotides long. RefSeq lists it as uncharacterized. The record is from RefSeq and is a predicted model, not a curated record. The transcript is spliced from 2 exons. Lineage: Eukaryota; Metazoa; Chordata; Chondrichthyes; Myliobatiformes; Dasyatidae.
CAGAAGGUCGGUGGGCGGUGUCACUGUACCCUAUAGCGUGACGGACUGUGGUGGAGGCACCGCCCAUUGAGGUCCCCCUGUCGUCAUGGGAGACCGCAGGAGACGUUAGCCGGAGCGGUAUUACCGUGGCAGGACGGAUUAUUGGAGUACCUCCGGCCGAUUAAAGCGUUACUCCCCGGGGAAGCUUCAGAAUAUAGAAAUUAUAAGCAUUGUCACGAUGGGACAACUGCAGUUAGCGUGCAUAGAGACGAGAACUGCUGCUCACUGGAUUUUUUAUUUAUUUGUCCACACUAUUCUCUAAUAUCCAUAGACUGUCGUGCGUGAAAAUCCCAGGAAAUCAGCAAGUCUGUGCAGAUUGGUGAUAACAAAUCCUCCUCGCUGACAAUCAACACUGGUUGUGGAGCUGAUUGUGGACUUCAGGAAGGGCAAGAUGAAGGAGCACAUACCAAUUCUCAUGGAGGGAUCAGAAGUGGAGUGAGCGAGCAGCUUCACGUUCCUCUGUCAAGAUCUCUGAGGAUCUAACCUGGUCCCAACAUAUCCAUGUAGUCAUAAAAAAGACAAGACAGGCUAUAUUUUAUUAGGAGUUUUAAGAGAUUUGGCAUGUCAACAAACACACUCAAAAACUUCUAUAGUUGUACCAUGAUGAGUACAUCACUGGCUGCAUCACUGUCUGGAGGGGCUACUGCACAGGACCGAAAGAAGCUGCAGAGGGUUGUAAAUCUAGUCAGCUCCAUCUUGGGCACUAGCCUACAAAGUACUCGGGACAACUUUAGGGAGCAGUGUCUCAGAAAGGCAGUGUCCGUUAUUAAGGACUCCAGCACCCAGGGCAUGCCCUUUUCUGUUACCAUCAGGUAGGAGAUACAGAAGCUUGAAGUCACACACAGUCAGUGAUUCAGGAACAGCUUCUUCCCCUCUGCUAUCCAAUUCCUAAAUGGACAUUGAAGCUUUGGACACUACCUCACUUGUUUUACUAUACAGUAUUUUUUUUACAUUUUAAAAAAAUAUAUUCAAUAUACGUAAUUGAUUCACUUUUGUAUUUUACUUUUUUUCUCUCUGCUAGAUUAUGUAUUGCAUUGAACUGCUUCUGCUAAGUUAACAAAUUUCUCAUCACAUGCUGGUAAUAAACCUGAUUCUGUGAUACUCAAACCACCCCAUCUGGCACCAGCAGACAUUCCACGGUCAAAGUCAUAUAGAUCACAUUUCUUCCUCAUUCUGAUGUUUGGUCUGAACAAUAACUGAGCCCCUUGUCCAUGUCUGCUUGCUUUUAUGCAUUGAGUUGCUCCCACGACUGGCUGAUUAAAUACCUCAUUAUUGAGCUACUGUACCUAAAGUGGCAAUUAAAUGUACAGAAUUUUUUCCUUUUUCAGAUGGAUCAGACCCAUUAGGAAUUGGGUGGAGAGAAGAAUUAUCAAACCAAAAUAGUAAAUAGGACUUUCAUUGAAAGUCUAGUGGGUUAUGCAUUUCUUUAUUUCUCUGUCCUAUUCAUCACAAAAAUAUCCUGCUAUCAAAACAAAGCCCCAUUUACUGUCGGUAUAUUACCCAAGUCAGGUAGAGGACACCAGAGACAAGACCAAACUGUUGAAACUAAACUUAUAAAAUUUUACUCAAAAUAUAGUUAACUUUGCCAGUUAUAAACAGAAGUUGUACAGAUCAUAAUCAGCAAUCUCAGGCCAGAACUUUCCUUUUGCUGAAUGCUGUAAGAAAAUGCUGCUUUAAAACAAUUCCAGAUGAUGUUGCAGGAUAAAAUAUAAUUAAAAGGAAAGCAUUAGCAAAAGCAUCUAUUUUAGAUAAAGAUGUUUUACAGGCAAUUAAACAGUAUUUGCACAUCUUUCCCAGCCUUCCUGCAAAUAAACAUCUAUAAUAAAUUCAGUCAAAAAAUGGCAGCUGUUACAACCAAAUCCCACAAACGUUACAUUGUGUACAGUUACAUGUGUACACUGUCAGUAACACUGUGUACACUGAUAUAUAUGUACAGUCAGCUGUUACAACCAAAUCCCACAAAUGUUACAUUGUGUACACUGUCAGUAAAUCAUGACAAAAUACAGUGAUAGACAUCUUGCCUGACAACAACCUCCUAAUCAACACAAAAUAAUUCUAAUUAGAUCGUGUGACAGGCAUCCAGCAGUUGUUCACAUCACUAACAAAAUGGCAUAGGAUUGCACCAUUUUCACAGUGCAACAGCAUGCAAGAAGCAGAUGAACACAUAACCAAAUUGGCAUUUUACUAGCUUAAAGGGGGUGGUUCUUAUUAAAUAUUACUAGAAACUCUGUCUGGAGACACUGCAGCAAUUCUCAUUAAGUGCCCCCAGAAAAUAUUUACAGAUUUUUUUUGUUAGAUGUUAUUUGAUUAACUUUAAGUCUGGAGUUCAAGAUAUACAGGCUUGGUUGAAACAAAGUCACAACUGAGCAGUGAAUCACAUCCAUGCAAAAUAAUAAUUUCCCCAAGAGGAAAUGAUAUCCUUUCAGAACUCAAACUGCACCAUUCAAUUAAAAAAUCAUUUGUGACAUUUCAGAAGAUCUAAAGCAGUCUCUCAAAUUUUUGCAACGUACAAAUAUCUCAUUCAAGUUUGACAGUGCCUACCAGGGAAGCAUUAAUUUGACAAGUCAUAGUAAAACCAUCUUUACCUAUCAACACUCAGAGAAGAGCAUGCUAUAUGAUGCUGUUUUUCCAUGAUAUAUAAAUGCCACAUGGUCAAUUGAAAGCUGCAGAUAUUUAAUUUUGCCUAUUUUUCAACAAACAUUAGGCAUAACUAAAUCAAUAAUCAAUUAAGGAUACCCUGGGCUGGGAAAGUUCUACAGAAACAGCAGCAGGAUUGACUUGGAAACCUGGGCAGGGUGUAAGAGGAGGAUGCAUUUUGCUAAAGGUAUGAGAAAAGGAACUCAAUAGCAAAAAAACAGCAUAUUCUAAAAAUAACUAUUAUACAUGCUUGUAGACAAGGAUUGAUACGACUUUUAAAUUCCUCAGGGUGACAUCAUUGGUCUUUUCACUGGCCUAAUCACUCAGCUUUUGAAAAGCUCUACAGGGAAUUGAUUUGCUUAGAAGGACUGAUUUAAACCAAUAAAGUUUCAAAUUAAAACUGAACAUUUGAUUACACAAAAGCAGUAUUAUAAACCUAAUAAAAGUGCACAAUUAUGCUACUUUGUAUAGUCUAUCAAGGCUUUGUGUUCUAAAAACCAGGGAUCAGUGUCCUCAGUCUAAUUUGUAAAUGUUUACCUCCUUCACAAACACUUACCUCGUUCCCCCACCCCACCUGCAAUUCAGUCCUCAGUUAGAAAUUCAAUGCCAGCAACACCCCAGUUCCAGGUUUACUUGAUUGGCAUGGGGCUUACUGGGAAGUGUUUUUUUUACAUUUAUCUGACAGUCUAUGUACAAGUGGCACGUCAUCCUUCAGAUAAAACAGCAUGAUCCAAAUGAGUACUUGUCAUUUAAGAAUCUUGUAUAUUUAGGCCGGAAUGGAAUUCAAGAGCAAAUUACUAUAGCUUACUAACUGAAACCAUCAAUCACAUUCAGCACAAUGAAGGUACCAUCUACACUCCUGCUGGUACAAUGACAAGUACAUAAUUGUACAAAUCCAGAUUGAACAUUUUAUUUGAGAUAGAUAGAUCUUACUAGGCAUUGUGAUCUACAGACCCCCAAUAGCUAUGUUAUUUAGGACAUUACUGUCCAAAUUCAACUCUGCAGCAUUUUCUAUGAUGUAAAGUAUUGAAGCACAAAGGCUAAUGCAAUCCUUUAUGAGAUUACUCAGUUGUAUUAUCCCAGUGCUUCAAAAAGGUGGCUUUUU